GUAAAUAUAUCUAAAGGUAAGAAAAAAAAUUGUGGAUUUUUUGAUUAAGAGUUCGAUUCUCUUUAUUUACC
Theileria parva strain Muguga is the source of this 71-nucleotide transfer RNA. It matches the Rfam family "tRNA". From Rfam's summary of the family: Transfer RNA (tRNA) molecules are approximately 80 nucleotides in length. The record is from Rfam. NCBI's taxonomy places the organism in Eukaryota, Apicomplexa, Aconoidasida, Piroplasmida, Theileriidae.